GGGGCCUGCCCAGCCGCGGCCGCAGCCGCAGCCGCAGCGCCAGCGCCGAGGAGGUGCCCCGGCGUGCACGUCCGCACGCCCCGCGCCACGACCCGGCGAGCAGGCGGAGCAGAGCACCGGAGCUUCCACCCGGCCGGUCGCGGAGGGCGCCGCGGAGUGGCCUGGCCUCCGGCGGCCGUGAGGGCCCGUGUUGCACCGCAAGAUGCGGCUCCUCGGCCCACAGCCCGGCCCGCUGCCCUCCGCGGCCUCCCUAGCUGGGUCUCCUCAUCCCGAGCGGUGGGCCGCUGUCAGGAGGUCGAGAGGAGCCGCUCAGUGAACCUAUGUCCGACCCUGGUGACAGCCCUCGGCUCUCAUGAAUUGCUAGAGCCUUCUCUGGAGAAAAGCCCAACCUAGACCUCAAGAUGCUGACAAUUUGAUAAAGAAGAAGGCUGGACAUUUUGUUUUGUAAUACUUCUUUUCACUGAAGAAGUGGCGAUCCCAUUUGAUUUCCAUGUACUAAAUCCCUGUACAAAUCAAUACCACAAAUGCUCAUUGGGCAUCUUUUAUAUGCCUGCAACUCUCCCAGGCACCUGUGGUGGAGACCAUCAAAGAAGAGUAAACAGACUAUGUUAAGUAGACUACCUGGUGUCUAGAAGGAGUGGUAUGUGGUGGACAAAAGCCGAGGUAGUACAGGGGGAGGGGUGGAGAGUGGGGUGCCACUGUCAAUGUCAGGGAGGCCUCAUGGAGGCAGUGACCUGUGAGCAGGCAGGGGAACUGGCCUGCAUGUCUGGGAGUCCAGGAUAGCCCAUUCAAAGGCCCUGGGGUUGGAGUCACUGCUGGGGGUUCAUCUGGUGGACCUGGUGGUGGGUGGGUGGGUUAAAGAAUUGCAGAGAAAAUUAGGAGAUGAAGUCAGAGAGUAAAAGGGGGUCCAGAUUGUGUCAAGCCUUGAAAGCCAUUUUAAGAGUGUUGGGUUUAGUGUGGAGGGUCCUCAAGAAGUUAAAAAUAGAGCUAUCCUACGACCCAUCAAUUACACUACUGGGUAUUUACACAAAGAUACAGAUGCAGUGAAACGCCAGGACACCUACACCCCAAUGUUCAUAGCAGCAAUGUCCACAAUAGCCAAACUGUGGAAGGAGCCUCAGUGUCCAUCAACAGAGGAAUGGAUAAAGAAGAUGUGGUCUAUAUAUACAGUGGGACAUUCCUCAGCCAUCAGGAUGAAGACCCACCAUUUGCUUCGAUGUGGAUGGAACUGGAGGGUAUUAUGCUGAGUGAAGUAAGUCAAUUGGAGGAGGACAAUCAUCAUAUGGUCUCACUCGUAUGGGGAAUAUAAUAAAUAGGGAGGGAUCCCUGGGUGGCACAGCAGUUUAGCGCCUGCCUUUGGCCCAGGGCACGAUCCUGGAGACCCGGGAUUGAAUCCUACGUCGGGCUCCCGGUGCAUGGAGUCUGCUUCUCCCUCUGCCUAUGUCUCUGCCUCUCUCUCUCUGUGUGUGUGACUAUCAUUUAAAAAAAAAAAAAAAAAAAGAAAAAGAACUAGGGAAAGGGACUAUAAGGGAAAGGAGGGGAACCGAAUGGGAAAAAUCAGGGAGACAAACCAUGAGAGACUCCUGACUCUAGGAAAUGAACAAGGGGUAGUGGAAGGGGAGGUGGUGGGGGGACUGGGUGACGGGCACUGAGGAGGGCACUUGAUGGGAUGAGCACUGGGUGUUCUAUAUGUUGGCAAAUUGAGUUUAAAUAAAAUAUCUAAAAAAAAUUAAAAA
This 1736-nucleotide long non-coding RNA is filed under the name Canis lupus familiaris (dog). RNAcentral's name for it is "lncRNA (ENSCAFG00845004943.1)". Lineage: Eukaryota; Metazoa; Chordata; Mammalia; Carnivora; Canidae. The record is from RNAcentral.